AGUGAACGCUGGCGAUAGGCCUAACACAUGCCAGUCGAACGGCAGCACAGUAAGCUCUUGCUCUUACGGGUGGCGAGUGGCGGACGGGUGAGGAAUACAUCGGCAUCUACUUUUUCGUGGGGGAUAACGUAGGGAAACUUACGCUAAUACCGCAUACGACCUACGGGUGAAAGCAGGAGAUCUUCGGACCUUGCGCGAUUGAAUUAGCCGAUGCCGGAUUAGCUAGUUGGCGGGGUAAAGGCCCACCAAGGCGACGAUCCGUAGCUGAUCUGAGAGGAUGAUCAGCCACACUGGAACUGAGACACGGUCCAGACUCCUACGGGAGGCAGCAGUGGGGAAUAUUGGACAAUGGGCGAAAGCCUGAUCCAGCCAUACCGCGUGGGUGAAGAAGGCCUUCGGGUUGUAAAGCCCUUUUGUUGGGAAAGAAAAGCAGCAGGUUAAUACCCCGCUGUUCUGACGGUACCCAAAGAAUAAGCACCGGCUAACUUCGUG
Molecule: ribosomal RNA, 492 nt
Filed under: uncultured bacterium
Lineage: Bacteria
Description: partial 16S ribosomal RNA
Rfam family: Bacterial small subunit ribosomal RNA
Source: RNAcentral